GCUGGGCGUGGUGGCUCAUGCCUGUAAUCCCAGCACUUUGGGAGGCUGAGGUGGGAGGAUCACCUGAGGUCAGGAGUUUGAGACCAGCCUGGCCAACACGGUGAAACCCUGUCUCUU
Pan troglodytes (chimpanzee) is the source of this 117-nucleotide non-coding RNA. It matches the Rfam family "Metazoan signal recognition particle RNA". Rfam says of the family: The signal recognition particle (SRP) is a universally conserved ribonucleoprotein. It is involved in the co-translational targeting of proteins to membranes. The eukaryotic SRP consists of a 300-nucleotide 7S RNA and six proteins: SRPs 72, 68, 54, 19, 14, and 9. Lineage: Eukaryota; Metazoa; Chordata; Mammalia; Primates; Hominidae. The record is from Rfam.